Molecule: ribosomal RNA, 238 nt
Filed under: uncultured Lactobacillus sp.
Lineage: Bacteria; Bacillati; Bacillota; Bacilli; Lactobacillales; Lactobacillaceae
Description: partial 16S ribosomal RNA
Rfam family: Bacterial small subunit ribosomal RNA
Source: RNAcentral
UAACCUGCCCAAGAGAUCGGGAUAACACCUGGAAACAGAUGCUAAUACCGGAUAACAACAGAUGAUGCCUAUCAACUGUUUAAAAGAUGGUUCUGCUAUCACUCUUGGAUGGACCUGCGGUGCAUUAGCUAGUUGGUAGGGUAACGGCCUACCAAGGCGAUGAUGCAUAGCCGAGUUGAGAGACUGAUCGGCCACAUUGGGACUGAGACACGGCCCAAACUCCGUACGGGAGGCAGAU